GUCUUUGUAGCUUACAAAAAGCAUGACACUGAAGAUGUCAAGACGGCCGUUACACACGCCCAAAGACA
Molecule: transfer RNA, 68 nt
Filed under: Lonchura oryzivora (Java sparrow)
Lineage: Eukaryota; Metazoa; Chordata; Aves; Passeriformes; Estrildidae
Description: tRNA-Phe
Source: RNAcentral